GAUGUGGAUCCAUUAGAUACCCUGGUAGUCCAUGCCGUAAACGAUGUCUACUAGCCGUUGGGGCCUUUGAGGCUUUAGUGGCGCAGCUAACGCGAUAAGUAGACCGCCUGGGGAGUACGGUCGCAAGACUAAAACUCAAAUGAAUUGACGGGGGCCCGCACAAGCGGUGGAGCAUGUGGUUUAAUUCGAUGCAACGCGAAGAACCUUACCUGGUCUUGACAUAGUAAGAACUUUCCAGAGAUGGAUUGGUGCCUUCGGGAACUUACAUACAGGUGCUGCAUGGCUGUCGUCAGCUCGUGUCGUGAGAUGUUGGGUUAAGUCCCGCAACGAGCGCAACCCUUUUCCUUAUUUGCCAGCGGGUUAAGCCGGGAACUUUAAGGAUACUGCCAGUGACAAACUGGAGGAAGGCGGGGACGACGUCAAGUCAUCAUGGCCCUUACGACCAGGGCUACACACGUGCUACAAUGGUCGGUACAAAGGGUUGCUACCUAGCGAUAGGAUGCUAAUCUCAAAAAGCCGAUCGUAGUCCGGAUUGGAGUCUGCAACUCGACUCCAUGAAGUCG
This 563-nucleotide ribosomal RNA is filed under the name uncultured bacterium. Its description in RNAcentral is "bacterial SSU rRNA". It matches the Rfam family "Bacterial small subunit ribosomal RNA", at positions 770 to 1328 of the family's 1533-position model. The record is from RNAcentral.